RNAcentral lists this long non-coding RNA (766 nucleotides) under Rhinopithecus bieti (black snub-nosed monkey). RNAcentral describes it as "lncRNA (ENSRBIG00000046430.1)". The record is from RNAcentral. Lineage: Eukaryota; Metazoa; Chordata; Mammalia; Primates; Cercopithecidae.
CACAGGUUAGCCCUUCCCCAGAGGGGAGAGGAGAGGGCACAGGUUAGCCCUUCCCUACACAGGAGAGGAGAGGGCACAGGUUAACCCUUCCCCAGAGGGGAGAGGAGAGGGCACAGGUUAGCCCUUCCCCAGAGGGGAGAGGAGAGGGCACAGGCUAGCCCUUCCCCACACAAGAGAGGAGAGGGCACAGGUUAGCCCUUCCCCACAGGGGAGAGGAGACGGCACAGGUUAGCCCACCACCCAUCCACAUACAUGGAAAGAGCAGAGUCCAGCUUAGCACAGAGACUCACAGGAAAGAAGAGUCCAGGUUAACCCCUCCUUGUGUAGAAAAAGUCAGGAAUGCCCAGGUUAGCCCCUUUCCACAGAGACAGAAGAGAAGAGCAAAGGUUAGACCAGGACAGCCACAAGGAAGAGGACAGAACUCAGGUUAACCCUCCUCACCAAGGAAAAAUCAGGCUACCCUUUUUUUUUUUUUUUGAGACGGAGUCUCCCUCUGUCACCCAGGCUGGACUGCAGUGGCCGGAUCUCAGCUCACUGCAAGCUCCGCCUCCCAGGAGAAUCACUUGAACCUGGGAGGCAGAGGUUGCAGUGAGCUGAGUUGACGCCACUACACUCCAGCCUGGCUGACAGAGUGAGAUUCUGUCUCAAAAAACAAACAAACAAAAAGAAAGAGAGACACAGAGAGCGAAGUGGAGGCGGGCGGCACAGAGGGGAUUGGGGGAGGACCUGGGCCCCAGCCCCAGUCACAGUAGCCUGGCCUGGGGAG